RNAcentral lists this long non-coding RNA (1159 nucleotides) under Mus spicilegus (steppe mouse). RNAcentral's name for it is "lncRNA (ENSMSIG00000008778.1)". The record is from RNAcentral. Lineage: Eukaryota; Metazoa; Chordata; Mammalia; Rodentia; Muridae.
CUUGGAGGACCUCAGGACUUUCUGCCCAGGCUUGUUCACUAGGUCACACACCUUUUCUUUGUUAAAAUGCUCAAGCCACCAUGCUCCUGUGCCUUUGACCUGAGACUCUACCAGGCAUGUGACCAUCCCACCAGAGUUGCCUCUGAAACAGAGAGGUAGCAAGGAAGGAGGGGGCACUUAGAUUUGAGGCACUUGCCUACACUGAGAUCCGGGCAUGUCCCCAUGCUGCUGACAUGGGCCUAGUGGCGCUGUUGGGGUGGAAGGGACAAUGGAAAGAGGACUUACUAAGACAUAGAUGGUCCCAGCCGGUAUCUGCUGUGAUAGCGUGGAAGGAGCCCCAGGCAUGAGGGACAGCCUAACUAGGCCUUGGCACGAGGUGCUGUGUCCUCCUAUGGAAGCACUCUGUUCCUCUGGAAGGCAGAGUUGACACUGGUUCUCGCAUAAUGCAGUCCUGAAGAGCUGCUGCCGUUUCUAAAUGCCACUGUUCCCAAGGGGAUCUGAACAUAAGCUCUUCCCAUCUCUCAUCGGAUCCCAGUGGGUUCCUUCCCAUGGCAACGGCUUUUGAAAACUACAGAACAUUUGUAAAAGAAGAAAAUCAUUUGUGAUCUACAAAUUUUGGUCCCUUUCAAACCACCUGUAGCACUCUGAGUUCAUGGAUUGAUAGCUACCUGUGUAAACUGCCUUGGACACACGCUGCCUCCCCUGGCAGGCUCGACCAUGUGCUCGGGCCACUGGAAUUGAGUUGACUGACCGGACAUCUAUCACCUGGGAGCAGGAACGUUGGUGCUUGCAGACUUUGGCUUGGCCUCCUUACUUCUGCCAUAAAGGUCAAAGUCCAAGAUUGCCGCUCCUUCGAUCCAGCAUCUUGAAGAGGACGAAUCAAGAAGGCCUGGCAUAGCUCCCAGGCCUGAGCAUAUUCCUCAGCCAACUUGCAGCUCCAGGGAGGAAUCUGUAGUUAUGUCUGUUUAUAUUACUGUCUGUGUGAGUAUACACGUGUAUGUGCACUACCGCAUUCUUGUGAAAGCCCAAGAACUUUCAGACAUAUACUCGCUCCUUCCUCCGUGAGACCCAAGGAUCCAACAGCUCACCAACUUUGUGCAUUGCUUUUUUCUGCCAAGCCAUCUUACUGGGCUUUAAAAAAUGUAUUUGGACUUUAGGA